AUUUGGGAGGAAGCUGAUCAUUUCCUGUCUGUAAAUGAAAGUGAAAUAGACUUAAAGUCAGAAUCGCCAUUUCAGCAAGAAACACGAAUAAGAUUCCGGAGGAUAUAAAGAUAUUUGUUUUGCAAGUUUAGGUGAAACUGAAACUACAGCAAAAACUUGAGUCACUGGUCUGAAGUGAUUUUACUCUGAAGUGGAUUUUCAGUACAAGAGAAAACAUCUGUUUAUUAAAGCAAGUUUACUGGUUUGCAGAGAAAAGUAUGGCAAGCUUGGCCGAUUUUUUAGAAUUUGUAGACGACUUCUGCACGUCUUUUGAAUGCUAUCUGGAGCAUGACGACACACGGAGAGGUAGUAGGACAUACAUCAUGUACCAUGGUACUACAUUAAGAGCUGCAUUAGAUAUUGAACAGAACGGAUUUCAGCAGUCCAGCGAUGGCAUGCUUGGACCUGGAGUCUAUGUCAGUCGGAGCUUUGAGAAGGCCAAAGCUUACCCAAGAAAUGUACCCUUCUAUGAGCGG
This is a long non-coding RNA of Brienomyrus brachyistius, 515 nucleotides long. RefSeq lists it as uncharacterized. Lineage: Eukaryota; Metazoa; Chordata; Actinopteri; Osteoglossiformes; Mormyridae. The record is from RefSeq and is a predicted model, not a curated record. The transcript is spliced from 3 exons.